This 305-nucleotide ribosomal RNA is filed under the name uncultured bacterium. RNAcentral's name for it is "bacterial SSU rRNA". It matches the Rfam family "Bacterial small subunit ribosomal RNA", at positions 338 to 660 of the family's 1533-position model. The record is from RNAcentral.
CCUACGGGGGGCAGCAGUGGGGGAUAUUGCACAAUGGGGGGAACCCUGAUGCAGCGACGCCGCGUGGGCGAUGGAGUGCUUCGGCAUGUAAAGCCCUAUCAGCAGGGAAGAAAAUGACGGUACCUGACUAAGAAGCCCCGGCUAAAUACGUGCCAGCAGCCGCGGUAAUACGUAUGGGGCAAGCGUUAUCCGGAUUUACUGGGUGUAAAGGGCGUGUAGCCGGGUUGACAAGUCAGAUGUGAAAUCCUGCAGCUUAACCGCAGAACUGCAUUUGAAACUGUUGAUCUUGAGUACUGGAGAGGCAG